Molecule: non-coding RNA, 29 nt
Filed under: Mus musculus (house mouse)
Lineage: Eukaryota; Metazoa; Chordata; Mammalia; Rodentia; Muridae
Source: RNAcentral
UACUUACUUAGAGGCCUAUUGUCCAAAGA